This 603-nucleotide ribosomal RNA is filed under the name uncultured Flavobacterium sp. Its description in RNAcentral is "bacterial SSU rRNA". It matches the Rfam family "Bacterial small subunit ribosomal RNA", at positions 8 to 610 of the family's 1533-position model. Lineage: Bacteria; Pseudomonadati; Bacteroidota; Flavobacteriia; Flavobacteriales; Flavobacteriaceae. The record is from RNAcentral.
AGAGUUUGAUCCUGGCUCAGGAUGAACGCUAGCGGCAGGCUUAACACAUGCAAGUCGAGGGGUAGAAAUAGCUGGCUAUUUUGAGACCGGCGCACGGGUGCGUAACGCGUAUGCAAUCUACCUUUCACAGGGGGAUAGCCCGGAGAAAUCCGGAUUAAUACCCCAUGGUUUUUUAGGGUGGCAUCACCUUAUUAAUAAAGAUUUAUCGGUGAAAGAUGAGCAUGCGUCCCAUUAGCUAGAUGGUAAGGUAACGGCUUACCAUGGCUUCGAUGGGUAGGGGUCCUGAGAGGGAGAUCCCCCACACUGGUACUGAGACACGGACCAGACUCCUACGGGAGGCAGCAGUGAGGAAUAUUGGACAAUGGGCGCAAGCCUGAUCCAGCCAUGCCGCGUGCAGGAUGAAGCAUCUAUGGUGUGUAAACUGCUUUUAUACGGGAAGAAACCCUGGAACGUGUUCCAGACUGACGGUACCGUAAGAAUAAGGAUCGGCUAACUCCGUGCCAGCAGCCGCGGUAAUACGGAGGAUCCAAGCGUUAUCCGGAAUCAUUGGGUUUAAAGGGUCCGUAGGCGGCCCUGUAAGUCAGUGGUGAAAUCUCACGGCUC